Molecule: small RNA, 479 nt
Filed under: Rattus norvegicus (Norway rat)
Lineage: Eukaryota; Metazoa; Chordata; Mammalia; Rodentia; Muridae
Description: uncharacterized LOC108349242
Source: RNAcentral
CUAUGUGUGCAGGUGUCUUCAAAAUACAGAAGAUGUCAGUUCCCCUUGAGCUGGAGUUACAGGCAGUUGUAAGCUUCUGCUGUUGGUGCUAAGAAGGAAAUCUGGGUCCUCUAGAAGAGCAGCUCGUAACUGCUAAGCCGUAUCUCCAGUCCCCAGAACACGCAAUUAUUACAGUUACAAGCAAUAUUUGAUACUUCCACUGUUAAAAAGUACUCCAGAGCAAAAGAUGAAUGGGUGGAAGUCGAAGAGAUCACAUUGAGAGAGAUAAUCCCGAUCCAGAAAGGCCAGGAUCUCAUUUGCUCUCAUCUUUGACUCCUAGUUGCAAAACUUCAAGUGAUGAUGGUGUACAUCUACAGUUCAAGCUGUAUCAGAGGUUGACAGAGGAUAACACAGUUGCGGCCAGUUUGGACAACUUGAAUUAAUCAUCAAAGGACUCCGAAGUGGAUGGAUGAAAUUGUCAGUUCAAGGAAAUGAAGACA